CGGCAGGCCUAACACAUGGUAGUCGAGCGGAUGACGGGAGCUUGCUCCUUGAUUCAGCGGCGGACGGGUGAGUAAUGCCUAGGAAUCUGCCUGGUAGCCGGGGACAAUUUUUCGGGAGGAACGCUACGAACGCAUAAAUCCUACGGGCUAAAGCAGGGGACCUUCGGGCCUUGCGCUAUCAGAUGAGCCUAGGAAAAAUUAGCUAGUUGUUGAGGUAAUGGCUCACCAAGGCGACGAUCCGUAAGUGGUCUGAGAGGAUGAUCAGUCACACUGGACCUGAGACACGGUCCAGACUCGAGCGGGAGGCAGCAGUGGCCAAUAUUGGACAAUGGGCGAAAGCCUGAUCCAGCCAUGCCGCGUGUGUGAAGAAGGUAAUUUUAUUGUAAAGCACUUUAAGUUGGGAGGAAGGGCAGUAAGUUAAUACCUUGCUGUUUUGACGUUACCGACAAAAUAAGCUUCGGCUAACUCUGUGCCAGCAGCCGCAGUAAUACAGAGGGUGCAAGCGUUAAUCGGAAUUACUGGGCGUAAAGCGCGCGUAGGUGGUUCGUUAAGUUGGAUGUGAAAGCCCGGGGCUCAACCUGGGAACUGCAUCCAUAACUGGCAACUUUGAGUACAAUAGAGGGUAUUGGAAUUAAAUGUGUAGCGGUGAAAUGCGUAGAUAUAGGAAGGAACACCAGUGACGAAGGCGACCACCUGGACUGAUACUGACACUGAGGUGCGAAACCGUGGGGAGCAAACAGGAUUAGAUACCCUGAUAGUCCACGCCGUAAACGAUGUCAACUAGCCGUUGGAAUCCUUUAGAUUUUAGUGGCGAACCCAACGCAUUAAGUUGACCGCCUGGCCAGUACGGCCGCAAGGUUAAAACUCAAAUGAAUUGACGGGGGCCCGCACAAGCGGUGGAGCAUGUCAU
RNAcentral lists this ribosomal RNA (910 nucleotides) under Pseudomonas sp. MT27. Its description in RNAcentral is "bacterial SSU rRNA". It matches the Rfam family "Bacterial small subunit ribosomal RNA", at positions 40 to 945 of the family's 1533-position model. Lineage: Bacteria; Pseudomonadati; Pseudomonadota; Gammaproteobacteria; Pseudomonadales; Pseudomonadaceae. The record is from RNAcentral.